UAAAUAAAAUUGAGAAUGGAAAUGGGGAAUGUGUCAAAGAGACAACAACCCGACCAAAUAAAAAACAACAGCAGAAGGUCACCAACAGGUCUUCAAUGUAGCGAGAAAUUCCCGCACCCGGUGGCGUCCUUCAGCUGGCCCCUAAACAAAUAUAUACUAGUACAGUGAUAAUGAACGCCAUACUAAUUUCCAAAUUGUACACAAGAAACUAAAAUUAAAAUAAUACAAGAUUAACAAAGGCCAGAGGCUCCUGACUUGGGACAGGCGCAAAAAUGCGGCGGGG
This 283-nucleotide long non-coding RNA is filed under the name Mytilus galloprovincialis (Mediterranean mussel). The record is from RNAcentral. Lineage: Eukaryota; Metazoa; Mollusca; Bivalvia; Mytilida; Mytilidae.